GAAGAGCUUGAUGAGCUAAAAAGAAAUAUUUUAAGUGAAAAAAAGGAAAGGCGCAAAGAAACUAUUAAAAAGUUAAUCGCAGAUGCAUCAACUGGGCAAGAGGUCGGUUCCCUCUUAACAGCUAUAAUAGAAAGUAUGAGCCAAGAUUUAUCGAUGGAAUAUAAAAAAUCAGUUUACUUGUUUUUAAUACUUUACUUUAAGCAAAAUUCUUCUUCUAUUUUAAAUGCGAUGGAAUUGUUUUUAAGAGAUUCUAAAGA
Zophobas morio is the source of this 257-nucleotide long non-coding RNA. RefSeq lists it as uncharacterized. The transcript has 3 exons. The record is from RefSeq and is a predicted model, not a curated record. Lineage: Eukaryota; Metazoa; Arthropoda; Insecta; Coleoptera; Tenebrionidae.